RNAcentral lists this ribosomal RNA (253 nucleotides) under uncultured bacterium. RNAcentral describes it as "partial 16S ribosomal RNA". It matches the Rfam family "Bacterial small subunit ribosomal RNA", at positions 524 to 776 of the family's 1533-position model. The record is from RNAcentral.
GACGAACCGUGCAAACGUUGUUCGGAAUCACUGGGCUUAAAGGGCGCGUAGGCGGCUCGCCAAGUCGGGGGUGAAAUCUUUCGGCUCAACCGGAAAAGUGCCUUCGAUACUAGCGGGCUUGAGCGAGGUAGGGGCAUGUGGAACUUCCGGUGGAGCGGUGAAAUGCGUUGAUAUCGGAAGGAACGCUGGUGGCGAAAGCGACGUGCUGGACCUCUUCUGACGCUGAGGCGCGAAAGCUAGGGUAGCGAACGGG